CGGUAACGCGGAGAGCUGCUCUCUGGCGACGAGUGGCGGACGGGUGAGUAAUGCGUAGGAAUCUGCCCUGGAGCGGGGGAUAGCCCGGGGAAACCCGGAUUAAUACCGCAUACGCUCUACGGAGGAAAGUGGGCCUCUUCUUGAAAGCUCACACUGCAGGAUGAGCUUACGUCCGAUUAGCUUGUUGGUGGGGUAAAGGCCUACCAAGGCGACGAUCGGUAGCUGGUCUGAGAGGAUGAUCAGCCACACCGGGACUGAGACACGGCCCGGACUCCUACGGGAGGCAGCAGUGGGGAAUAUUGGACAAUGGGCGAAAGCCUGAUCCAGCAAUGCCGCGUGUGUGAAGAAGGCCUGCGGGUUGUAAAGCACUUUUAUCAGGGAAGAAACGGCCUGGCCUAAUACGCCAUGGCAAUUGACGGUACCUGAAGAAUAAGCACCGGCUAACUCCGUGCCAGCAGCCGCGGUAAUACGGAGGGUGCAAGCGUUAAUCGGAAUUACUGGGCGUAAAGGGUGCGCAGGCGGCUGGCUAAGUCGGAUGUGAAAGCCCCGGGCUCAACCUGGGAAUUGCAUUCGAUACUGGUCAACUAGAGUCUGGUAGAGGUAAGCGGAAUUCCGGGUGUAGCGGUGAAAUGCGUAGAUAUCCGGAGGAACAUCAGUGGCGAAGGCGGCUUACUGGACCAAGACUGACGCUCAGGCACGAAAGCGUGGGUA
RNAcentral lists this ribosomal RNA (711 nucleotides) under uncultured organism. RNAcentral's name for it is "bacterial SSU rRNA". It matches the Rfam family "Bacterial small subunit ribosomal RNA", at positions 67 to 767 of the family's 1533-position model. The record is from RNAcentral.